AGCCCCGGAACCAACUGAAGUUCGUGUUUCUCUCGGUCGAACAUGCGUGAUGCACCGUAGGUACCUGCGUGUUUACAUCAUAUAAUCUUAUUUGUUGUACUUCUCUCUACUUCAUUAAGUGAAUGGACUGAUAUCAGCCAGCCACGAUGCUAAAAGAUCUUCCUCGAGAAGCUCUGCUCCGGCCAUUGACCAGGACUGAGGUGGUGAGCAUGCUGUUGAGGCUGACGAUCUUUGGAGCAGCCACCUACUACAGCAUCAAAUGGAUUGUGGAAGCAAUGGACCCCACUGCUAAACAGAAAAGCCAAGCCAAAAAAAGGGCAGAACAGCUUAUGAAGAGGAUUGGUGUUGAGGGCGUCAAACUCACUGAGUAUGAGAUGAACAUCGCAUCACAACUAGUGGAUCCACAAACAAUGAAGGUGUCCUGGAGAGAUAUUGCAGGUCUUGAUGAGAUAAUCAAUGAGCUACAAGACACAGUCAUUCUGCCCUUUCAGAAAAGACACCUUUUGGCUGGAUCCAAACUCUUUCAGCCACCAAAAGGUGUUUUGUUGUUUGGUCCUCCAGGCUGUGGCAAAACCAUGAUUGCUAAGGCAACAGCCAAAGCUUCUGGCUGCAAGUUUAUCAACCUGCAGGCAUCGACGCUGACCGAUAUGUGGUAUGGCGAAUCGCAAAAGCUCACAGCUGCUGUCUUUUCAUUGGCGGUCAAACUACAACCAUGUAUCAUUUUUAUUGAUGAAAUUGAAUCAUUUCUCAGGAACCGCUCCAGCCUUGAUCACGAAGCUACUGCCAUGAUGAAGGCCCAGUUCAUGAGCUUGUGGGAUGGCAUGGAAACUUCCUCAGCCACCCAGGUGAUGGUCAUGGGGGCAACAAACCGACCACAAGAUGUAGAUCCUGCUAUCCUACGCAGAAUGCCCACCACGUUUCACAUUGGCCUUCCUGACUCAAAACAAAGACAUGACAUCCUGCGGCUGAUAUUAGCGGAAGAAAAUCUGAGCGCCACUAUUAAUCUGAAAGAGAUCGCUGAGAAGACAGACGGAUACUCGGGCAGCGACUUGCGGGAACUUUGCCGCGACACCGCCAUGUACAGAGUUCGAGACUACGUCCGCAAGGAACAGAUGAGGCAGAUCGCCCAGCAGUUAGGAGAGGUCCAGGAAGACGAAACACCCGUGGAUGAGGAUAGAUUGCGACCAAUCACCCAGCUCGACCUCCUCUUUGGCCUGGACAAGAUGAGGGAGUCCAAACGGGGCACGGCGACCAUGUUACUGACUGUUCCCGAGGUUCCGCUGGACUAAAUGUCUUUUAAGCUCCCCCCCCCCCCCCCCCCCCCCCCCCCCCCCCCCCCCAUCUCAGUGAUGCCCAUCAGAAAAAGCAGUCGAGGGAAGAACAAGGGGACUGCUCCUAUCUCCAAUCUCGCCAGACUUUGUGGACACUCUGUAUUGGAACAUCAUAAGCAGCAAGGAUUGUGUGAUUUUGUUUGCCCUGAUGGGUUCUUAUUGUACUUUUGGAGUUAAGAACAAGUUGUUAAAGUCUGAAUCACUGCAUUGCUCGUCUCGUUCAACAAAAAUCGCACACGGUGCCUCUUAUCAGACUUGCUGACAGAGUAAAUAUCUCCAAAUUACCGCCUGAGGCGCGAAUAGCUGUCUGGCUAAAUGGUCAGAGGUCGUGAAUUAUUAAUUACCUGCGGAUUAAAAAAAUUACCUUCCAGGAAGCAAAAGCUUUUCACAUGACGGCAACAGCAAUUUGAGGGUGAUAAUGGCUCCUCAUCUCUUCUCUCGAUCUCUUGAGCAUAAAUUUGUCUCAUCAAAAUCAGUUUUGUCACGAACAACGGGCAAUUGGGGUUGAUUGCCUUUAAAGCUCUUGCGAAUAAUCACGUUCCUGUUUUCAUGGAUUCACGCAAGUGUGACUUUGUUGAUUCAAAUCAAAUUUAAAAUGUUAAAAUGGAUUCCCACCGUCCCCAGUGUGAGAAUUACAGGCAGUUCCUGCUAAAGGGGGUUUGCCACGUUACAUAGGUGUCACUUUUGCUGCCCAGACCAAUGUCUUCUUUGAUUGACAGCUGGUUCCUAGUGUUCGAGCACACUAACUUAAGAGUGGCUUGGUGGCUUGGCUCUCACAAUCACCUUGUGACCAUGAACGAUGUUGUACACUCGCGCAACCUGAAAGCUGUCUCACGAAGCGUCCCUUUACAAAGACUACAAUGCUCCCGUCUUUAUUGACACCCGUCAUACAGCCAUUCAUUGAAUUCACCGGCAUUUUCAAAUGUAAGAAACAUUGGGUGUAAUAAAUACAUAACCAGCAAGUGAUUUGCAUCAUCAACCAGCUAUCUUCUCUCUCCCAUAUGCAAAGGAAUGUCUCAUCGGACCUAAAUUCAUUUGGUUGAUUACCUCUCUAAUGGAGCGCUCCAAUUCCCAUUGGUCAUAGUGUAUCACCAUAAUGAUAAUCACAAGUAACCAAGGAUCUAUUAAAUCUUUCCGGGUGUGUUUCCACGAUGAACAUUUCAACUGUCUGUCUAUUUGAGUACCUACAGCUAAUUCGCGCUCCGCAAAGACAUAAUGCGGUUAAUCAUGUUGACGGGCCAAGUACGUUCACAUCCCCCCCAGGCUGGAUGUGUUGGAAUGUGUAAGCCUGUUGCAUGGACAAAUGGGAGCAUGACAUUUACACUUCUGCAUUAAAUGAGGCAAAGUGCAAUGUUUAUUUCUCCGCAGACGUUCUGAAACCUUGUGCUUCUGAUCUUAAAUGCUCAACCAGCGUUACUUUUUCAUAAAGUGGCAUGGAGCUAUUUAUAUGGGGGGAAGUGACAAGUUUCCAUUCCUCCACUCUUCUUUGAGAGGAUCGCACCCAGUCGCUGAUGGAAGAAUCUUUCCUCGAUCACAGCUGGCUUGAGAUGCCAUGACUGCGCUGGAGUGGAAAGCUCAGAUUCUGAUGGAGCCACUUAGGUCUGACCAUAGCGUAUCUGGACAGCAGCACUCAGCCCUUGUCGUACUGUCUCAACCUUUUCUUCCCCAUCAGAUAUGAGGAAAAAUAGAGCAUAUCAUGCCUCCUUGUCUACUUGAUGACUGACGAUGCUCUCAAAGCUUUGGUGGUUUGAUACAUUUUCGAGCAACCUUGGCGAAAUCGGCAAGCGGCGAGUCUGGCGGCCGCCUCACUAAUGAUGGACUUUUUCUGGGUCCCUUGCAAAGUCAAAUGAACUAAAUACAGUCUAUGAAGGGCUGGGAAGCUUCACACUGGCAAAUAAGAUUCAGUGAGAACAGUUGUAAGCUGUUGGGUAGGAGGACAGUGGAUGAUUUGUUCACUUGUUCAAAUAUUCAGCAUUUUUCUGUGAUUAAAAAAAAAAACAACUCAUGUGCAAUCAUGUAUCUGGUUCUGUACAGCCACAGAAGCGCUUGGACGAAAAAAUAGGACACUGAAAGCUGACAUUAAAAUAAAAAAAGCCUACUCUUUUGAGGGCACAAUCUGAAUUAAUGAGACAUUUUAAGUCAAUCGUUGUCAGGCUGUGCUCAACGCACCCUGUGGACACUUCAAUGUCAGAGCAAAAGCACAUUAUUGUACACAAUCAUUUGUCACUGGUGUAGUACCCUCCAAGGUUACGCUUUUGUAAACCGGACACUUAACUCACUCUGACGGUGUCAAUUAAAAGCGACUUUUUGAUAGAGCAUUAUUUAAAGAGGGACUUGUGUGUCAUGGAAUUUAUUUUAUUAACAUGAAUACAUCCUGGUUUGUCUCGAUAACUCAUUGUGUGUGGGUGCUGCAUGCCACCCUCAUUUUGAAAUCCAGCAGCCUGUCCAGGUCCAGGAGAUUUUUCAGCUGUAAUGUCCGUGUCCUUGCACGGCAGUGAAGCUUUGCCCGACGUUAGCCCUCCUCAAUAAUCUCAGUGCAAUCUUGAAGGUAAACUUUCAGCAUGUUUGGCUUUGCUUGUUGACCUUUUUAGAAGUGUAAUUUCUGGGUUGAAAAUGUCAUGUGACCAUCUUCGUCCUGCAAACUUUAAGAAAUGAAAAACGCCCCUUGAAUUCAUUGACAAAAAAUUUAGGCUACUGUAUUCAUGGAAUAAUUAAAAGGUGUGAUUCUUCUUUUUCUUUGGAAUAUAAUGCAAAUUAAAAUUGCACAAAUACUUGCUGUAUAACUGUCCUCACACUCUGUCAGUGAGGAACUGAGAGGUCCGUCGGUACCUGACCCGCUUAGUCAUACAUUGACGGAUGAAAACCCAGUUCUGUCAGUGCUUUGUCAUUU
RNA transcript from Hippocampus comes (tiger tail seahorse), 4221 nucleotides. It is a transcript of the gene named ATPase family AAA domain containing 1a, with no coding region annotated. NCBI's taxonomy places the organism in Eukaryota, Metazoa, Chordata, Actinopteri, Syngnathiformes, Syngnathidae. The record is from RefSeq and is a predicted model, not a curated record. The transcript has 11 exons.